Molecule: ribosomal RNA, 500 nt
Filed under: uncultured bacterium
Lineage: Bacteria
Description: partial 16S ribosomal RNA
Rfam family: Bacterial small subunit ribosomal RNA
Source: RNAcentral
AUUGAACGCUGGCGGCAUGCCUUACACAUGCAAGUCGAACGGCAGCACGGGAGCAAUCCUGGUGGCGAGUGGCGAACGGGUGAGUAAAGUAUCGGAACGUGCCCAGUCGUGGGGGAUAACGUAGCGAAAGUUACGCUAAUACCGCAUACGAUCUAUGGAUGAAAGCGGGGGAUCGCAAGACCUCGCGCGAUUGGAGCGGCCGAUAUCAGAUUAGGUAGUUGGUGGGGUAAAGGCUCACCAAGCCGACGAUCUGUAGCUGGUCUGAGAGGACGAACAGCCACACUGGGACUGAGACACGGCCCAGACUCCUACGGGAGGCAGCAGUGGGGAACUUUGGACAAUGGGCGAAAGCCUGAUCCAGCCAUGCCGCGUGCAGGAUGAAGGCCUUCGGGUUGUAAACUGCUUUUGUACGGAACGAAAAGGUUUGGGCUAAUAAGCUGAGCUCAUGACGGUACCGUAAGAAUAAGCACCGGCUAACUACGUGCCAGCCGCCGCGGUAA